Molecule: long non-coding RNA, 549 nt
Filed under: Ananas comosus (pineapple)
Lineage: Eukaryota; Viridiplantae; Streptophyta; Magnoliopsida; Poales; Bromeliaceae
Description: long non-coding RNA (ACOM_LNC018288)
Source: RNAcentral
CAUAUACAUAAAUGGGUUUAGGGUAUAGGAUUUAGAGUUUAUAAAUAGAGAGAGAAUAUGUAUAGAGAGAGAGUAGGGCUGCUGUACUUUCUUAAAUCGUUUUCGAUGAUUAAGCGUCCGAAUCGACGUCUAGUUCAGUCAGACUUGAUCUAGCAUAUUUGAAGUAUCUAGAAAAUACAUUGAUUUUUUUAUAUUAUUUAUCUAGUAAUCAAAAGGACUUCAAAUAUAUCUCACAAAAAGUGAUGAAAUGGCAUUAAAAUUUUCAAUUAGAGAUAUUGAUUUUAUUGUAGAUAGUAUAAAAAAUUUUCUAUCAAAAUUUCAUCUGGUUUGAAUAUUUCUACACGGCUAAACUUGCAAACGGCAUAUAUCAACUAUUAAAAAUUGUUCAUUUUGAACUUUUUCGAUCACUAGGUAAAUUAUUUCAAAAAAUUAUAAAAUUUAUUUUCUAAAUAAUUCAAAUAUGCUAGAUCAAGUCUAGUACAGUCGAUCGUCGAUUCACAUAGGUUAGAGAGGGACAAUAGAUUGUUGCAACUAUUUGAUCCAAAAUAU